UAAACGAUAAUUUACCGAAUUUCUCAGGUAUAAUUUCCUUCUUUCUCCUGAAAUGUUUGGGCAAGCACUGCUUGCCUUGCUUAUCCGGACCGCACGCCACUGGCAGUGAGUCUCUGAAAGUUGUACAUAUCUUGUUCAUCUUCAAUCAUCUCUGCUCACACUGAUUAAAACUUUUUCCCUAUUCUUUUGUUGCAGAUCUCAAUUUUAUUAUUAUGCAGGCAGUUCUUUUACUAUCGGUUUUGGUUAACAGAUCAAAUAGCGUGGAGAAAAUCAUCAUUCACUAUUCUUUCGUGCCAGUAAUUACAACAGUUAUCAAAAUGAUCCUCCACGGCAGUUUAGUAGGAGAAAUGAACCCUCUACACAGUCAACUA
RNAcentral lists this long non-coding RNA (371 nucleotides) under Bemisia tabaci. RNAcentral's name for it is "lncRNA ENSSSA3NGG004160". The record is from RNAcentral. Lineage: Eukaryota; Metazoa; Arthropoda; Insecta; Hemiptera; Aleyrodidae.